RNAcentral lists this ribosomal RNA (253 nucleotides) under uncultured bacterium. RNAcentral describes it as "partial 16S ribosomal RNA". It matches the Rfam family "Bacterial small subunit ribosomal RNA", at positions 524 to 776 of the family's 1533-position model. The record is from RNAcentral.
UACAGAGACUGCAAGCGUUAUUCGGAUUCACUGGGCGUAAAGGGUGCGCAGGCGGCCAAGUGUGUGAGGCGUGAAAGCCCGGGGCUUAACCCCGGAAUUGCACCUCAAACUACAUGGCUAGAGCAUUGGAGAGGGUAGCGGAAUUCACGGUGUAGCAGUGAAAUGCGUAGAUAUCAGGAGGAAUACCGGUGGCGAAGGCGGCCUUCUGGACGGUGACUGACGCUGAGACGCGAAAGCGUGGGGAGCAAACAGG